CAGAGAACAUCGCCCUCACGGGUGACUCUCCAACCCUAUGUUAUUAUACCUUUGUUGCUUUGGCGAGCCGCCUCGGCCGCUGGCUUCGGCUAGCGAGUGCUCGCCAGAGGACCCCAAACUCUGAAUGUUAGUGUCGUCUGAGUACUAUACAAUAGUUA
Molecule: unclassified non-coding RNA, 158 nt
Filed under: uncultured Phialophora
Lineage: Eukaryota; Fungi; Ascomycota; Leotiomycetes
Description: sequence contains ITS1
Source: RNAcentral